GAAAUGCGAUACGUAAUGUGAAUUGCAGAAUUCAGUGAAUCAUCGAGUCUUUGAACGCACAUUGCGCCCCCUGGUAUUCCGGGGGGCAUGCCUGUCCGAGCGUCAUUGCUGCCCUCAAGCACGGCUUGUGUGUUGGGCCCCCGUCCCCCCCCAAGGCGACGGGCCCGAAAGGCAGCGGCGGCACCGUGUCCGGUCCUCGAGCGUAUGGGAAGCAACUUUUUGUCACCCGCUCCUGUAGGUCCGGCCGGCGGCCUGCCCAACCCCAACCUUUUUUUCAACCAGGUUGACCUCGGAUCAGGUAGGGAUACCCGCUGAACUUAAGC
RNAcentral lists this unclassified non-coding RNA (323 nucleotides) under plant metagenome. RNAcentral's name for it is "partial contains 5.8S ribosomal RNA, internal transcribed spacer 2, and large subunit ribosomal RNA". The stretch from base 1 to 105 matches the Rfam family "5.8S ribosomal RNA", at positions 50 to 154 of the family's 154-position model. The record is from RNAcentral.